UAGGGAAUCUUCCACAAUGGACGCAAGUCUGAUGGAGCAACGCCGCGUGAGUGAAGAAGGUUUACGGAUCGUAAAGCUCUGUUGUUGGUGAAGAAGGAUAGAGGUAGUAACUGGCCUUUAUUUGACGGUAAUCAACCAGAAAGUCACGGCUAACUACGUGCCAGCAGCCGCGGUAAUACGUAGGUGGCAAGCGUUGUCCGGAUUUAUUGGGCGUAAAGCGAGCGCAGGCGGAAGAAUAAGUCUGAUGUGAAAGCCCUCGGCUUAACCGAGGAACUGCAUCGGAAACUGUUUUUCUUGAGUGCAGAAGAGGAGAGUGGAACUCCAUGUGUAGCGGUGGAAUGCGUAGAUAUAUGGAAGAACACCAGUGGCGAAGGCGACUCUCUGGUCUGCAACUGACGCUGAGGCUCGAAAGCAUGGGUAGCGAACAGG
RNAcentral lists this ribosomal RNA (429 nucleotides) under Bacillota bacterium. RNAcentral describes it as "Firmicutes bacterium partial 16S ribosomal RNA". It matches the Rfam family "Bacterial small subunit ribosomal RNA", at positions 355 to 776 of the family's 1533-position model. The record is from RNAcentral. Lineage: Bacteria; Bacillati; Bacillota.